UUGUGAGGGGUGCCUGCCUGUGAGGGCUGUGCUGAGAUGAUACCCAUAUAACCUGAUGCAGGUAAUGCUGCCGUAGGGAUUGUAUUAGAU
Molecule: non-coding RNA, 90 nt
Filed under: pig gut metagenome
Source: RNAcentral